AUUGAACGCUGGCGGCAGGCCUAACACAUGCAAGUCGAGCGGAUGAAGGGAGCUUGCUCCUGGAUUCAGCGGCGGACGGGUGAGUAAUGCCUAGGAAUCUGCCUGGUAGUGGGGGAUAACGUCCGGAAACGGGCGCUAAUACCGCAUACGUCCUGAGGGAGAAAGUGGGGGAUCUUCGGACCUCACGCUAUCAGAUGAGCCUAGGUCGGAUUAGCUAGUUGGUGGGGUAAAGGCCUACCAAGGCGACGAUCCGUAACUGGUCUGAGAGGAUGAUCAGUCACACUGGAACUGAGACACGGUCCAGACUCCUACGGGAGGCAGCAGUGGGGAAUAUUGGACAAUGGGCGAAAGCCUGAUCCAGCCAUGCCGCGUGUGUGAAGAAGGUCUUCGGAUUGUAAAGCACUUUAAGUCGGGAGGAAGGGCAGUAAGUUAAUACCUUGCUGUUUUGGCGUUACCAACAGAAUAAGCACCGGCUAACUUCGUG
This 484-nucleotide ribosomal RNA is filed under the name uncultured bacterium. Its description in RNAcentral is "partial 16S ribosomal RNA". It matches the Rfam family "Bacterial small subunit ribosomal RNA", at positions 30 to 507 of the family's 1533-position model. The record is from RNAcentral.